This 423-nucleotide ribosomal RNA is filed under the name uncultured bacterium. RNAcentral describes it as "bacterial SSU rRNA". It matches the Rfam family "Bacterial small subunit ribosomal RNA", at positions 207 to 622 of the family's 1533-position model. The record is from RNAcentral.
AAGACCUUGCGCUUUUGGAGCGGCCGAUGCCUGAUUAGCUAGUUGGUGGGGUAAUGGCCUACCAAAGCUUCAAUCAGUAGCUGGUCUGAGAGGACGGCCAGCCACACUGGGACUGAGACACGGCCCAGACUCCUACGGGAGGCAGCAGUGGGGAAUUUUGGACAAUGGGCGCAAGCCUGAUCCAGCCAUGCCGCGUGAGUGAAGAAGGCCUUCGGGUUGUAAAGCUCCUUCAGCCGGGAAGAAAGGGUUGCGAUUAAUAAUCGCAAUUUAUGACGGUACCGGAAGAAGAAGCACCGGCUAACUACGUGCCAGCAGCCGCGGUAAUACGUAGGGUGCGAGCGUUAAUCGGAAUUACUGGGCGUAAAGGGUGCGCAGGCGGUUUUGUAAGUCAGAUGUGAAAUCCCCGGGCUUAACCUGGGAACU